CACAAAGGCAUGGGGAGAACAUACAAACUCCAAACAGAAAUGAUCCAGAUUGCUCUACCUGGAAGUCGACCCAGAACCCACUGAUUCACUGUGCUGCCCCAAUUAAUGAGGUCCUUCCGAUGGAAACCUGUUUACCUGCCCGAGGUUAAGGAAUGAAGUCGAGACUGCCGUGCCAACAAUGCUGCUCCUGCCGGAUGUGACGGGAGGUGGCGUGUUUGCACCAAGAAUGUCAAGAACUCACUACAGACUUUAUUACAGACUGGACUGAAUAAUAACUUAUUUAUUAUUGCUAGUUAUAACUUUUAGUUCAUUUUAAUUCUGUGUGUGUAUGAUUUGUGUAAAUACUAUUUAUUUAAAGUAUCCUCCAGACCACCCAAGAAGGAUGGGCCCUGCUGAGUCUGGUUCCUCUCAAGGUUUCUUCCUGUAAUUUUCAGGGAGUUUUUCCUUGCCACUGUCGCCCUCGGCUUGCUCAUCAUGGGUUUUUGUAUCUGUUGGUCCUGGAUUUUGUAAAGUUGCUUUGAGACAAUGUUUAUUGUAAAAAGCGCUAUAUAAAUAAAGUUGACUUGACUUGAAAA
This is a long non-coding RNA of Trichomycterus rosablanca, 575 nucleotides long. RefSeq lists it as uncharacterized. The record is from RefSeq and is a predicted model, not a curated record. Lineage: Eukaryota; Metazoa; Chordata; Actinopteri; Siluriformes; Trichomycteridae. The transcript is spliced from 2 exons.